GCCUGCGUAGCUCAGUGGCAGAGCAACGGUAUCGUAAACCGUGGGUCGUCGGUUCAAUCCCGACCGCAGGCU
RNAcentral lists this transfer RNA (72 nucleotides) under Candidatus Roizmanbacteria bacterium RIFCSPLOWO2_01_FULL_45_11. RNAcentral's name for it is "tRNA-Thr". It matches the Rfam family "tRNA". Rfam says of the family: Transfer RNA (tRNA) molecules are approximately 80 nucleotides in length. Their secondary structure includes four short double-helical elements and three loops (D, anti-codon, and T loops). Lineage: Bacteria; Candidatus Roizmaniibacteriota. The record is from RNAcentral.